GCCCACGAGGUGGUUCCACACCAAAAUGCAAGUUUGGAGAAGCACCCCAAAAGGUGCCGGGGCUUCUCCCGUUUUUCCAGAGACGGGAGAAGG
Molecule: transfer RNA, 93 nt
Filed under: Cyrtodactylus sp.
Lineage: Eukaryota; Metazoa; Chordata; Lepidosauria; Squamata; Gekkonidae
Description: tRNA-Cys
Source: RNAcentral